AUGAAGACCUUCCUCAUCUUUGCCCUCCUCGCCGUUGCGGCGACAAGUGCCAUUGCACAAAUGGAGAAUAGCCACAUCCCUGGUUUGGAGAGACCAUCGCAGCAACAACCAUUACCACCACAACAAACAUUAUGGCACCAACAACAAGAACAACCUAUCCAACAACAACCACAACCAUUUCCACAACAGCAACCAUGUUCACAGCAACAACAACAACCACCAUUAUCGCAGCAACAACAACCACCAUUUUCGCAGCAACAACAACCACCAUAUUCACAGCAACAACAACCACCAUUUUCACAGCAACAACCACCAUUUUCACAGCAACAACAACCAGUUCUAUCGCAACAACCACCAUUUUCAUAGCAACAACCACCAUUUUUGCAGCAACAACAACCAGUUCUACCGCAACAACCAUCAUUUUCGCAGCAACAACUACCACCAUUUUCACAGCAACAACCACCAUUUUCGCAACAACAACAACCAGUACUACCGCAACAACCACCAUUUUCGCAACAACAACAAUCAGUUCUACCGCAACAACAAAUACCAUUUGUUCAUCCAUCUAUCUUGCAGCAACUAAACCCAUGCAAGGUAUUCCUCCAGCAGCAAUGCAGCCCUGUGGCAAUGCCACAAAGUCUUGCUAGGUCGCAAAUGUUGCAGCAGAGCAGUUGCCAUGUGAUGCAACAACAAUGUUGCCAGCAGUUGCCGCAAAUCCCCCAGCAAUCCCGCUAUGAGGCAAUCCGUGCUAUCAUCUACUCCAUCGUCCUGCAAGAACAACAACAGGUUCAGGGUUCCAUCCAAACUCAGCAGCAGCAACCGCAAUAGUUGGGCCAAUGCGUUUCCCAACCCCAACAGCAGUCGCAGCAGCAACUCGGGCAACAACCUCAACAACAACAAUUGGCACAGGGUACCUUUUUGCAUCCACACCAGAUAGCUCAGCUUGAGGUGAUGACUUCCAUUGCGCUCCGUACCCUGCCAACGAUGUGCCGUGUCAAUGUGCCCUUGUAUAGAACCACCACUAGUGUGCCAUUCAGCGUUGGCACCGGAGUUGGUGCCUACUGAUAA
RNAcentral lists this ribosomal RNA (1068 nucleotides) under Triticum aestivum (bread wheat). RNAcentral describes it as "partial small subunit ribosomal RNA". The record is from RNAcentral. Lineage: Eukaryota; Viridiplantae; Streptophyta; Magnoliopsida; Poales; Poaceae.